AACACUGUUAACCUGCGGUACCUGCGGAGGGAUCAUUGCCACACACGAUCCAAGAUCGACACUUUUUGUGAACUGUAAACCUUUACUGACUAGCUUGAAAAGGAGGAGGUCAAAGCCCUUCUUUUUUAGUCGGUAACAAUUUAAACACCAACCAAAACAAAACACUGAACUAUACAAUGGAACUUAAAUGUUAUCAAUGAGUUCGUCUCAUUAUAACGCUAGAUUAUUAAUUGUAAAACA
Molecule: unclassified non-coding RNA, 240 nt
Filed under: soil metagenome
Description: partial contains 5.8S ribosomal RNA, internal transcribed spacer 2, and large subunit ribosomal RNA
Source: RNAcentral